Molecule: ribosomal RNA, 253 nt
Filed under: uncultured bacterium
Lineage: Bacteria
Description: partial 16S ribosomal RNA
Rfam family: Bacterial small subunit ribosomal RNA
Source: RNAcentral
UACGGAGGGUGCAAGCGUUAUCCGGAUUUACUGGGUUUAAAGGGUGUGUAGGCGGGCUAUUAAGUCAGUGGUGAAAUCUCCGGGCUCAACCCGGAAACUGCCAUUGAUACUAUUAGUCUUGAAUUUUGUUGAGGUAGGCGGAAUAAGUCAUGUAGCGGUGAAAUGCAUAGAUAUGACUUAGAACACCAAUUGCGAAGGCAGCUUGCUAAACAAAUAUUGACGCUGAGGCACGAAAGCGUGGGGAGCAAACAGG